UCCCAGACUCCUACGGGAGGCAGCAGUGGGGAAUAUUGCACAAUGGGGGAAACCCUGAUGCAGCGACGCCGCGUGGAGGAAGAAGGUCUUCGGAUUGUAAACUCCUUUCCUUGGGGACGAUAAUGACGGUACCCAAGGAGGAAGCACCGGCUAACUACGUGCCAGCAGCCGCGGUAAAACGUAGGGUGCAAGCGUUGUCCGGAAUUACUGGGUGUAAAGGGAGCGUAGGCGGGGAUGCAAGUUGGGUGUCAAAACUACCGGCUCAACCGAUAGUCGCACUCAAAACUGCAGCUCUUGAGUGAAGUAGAGGCAGGCGGAAUUCCUGGUGUAGCGGUGAAAUGCGUAGAUAUCGGGAGGAACACCAGUGGCGAAGGCGGCCUGCUGGACAUUAACUGACGCUGAGGCGCGAAAGCGUGGGGAGCAAACAGGAUUAGAUCCCCCGUA
This 444-nucleotide ribosomal RNA is filed under the name uncultured bacterium. RNAcentral describes it as "bacterial SSU rRNA". It matches the Rfam family "Bacterial small subunit ribosomal RNA", at positions 329 to 791 of the family's 1533-position model. The record is from RNAcentral.